GUAAGGUCCCAUCAAGAAUUGUUCCCUCCCCAUGGGGGCCCGGUGCGCAAUGGCUGCAAACAGCAGCCUCCUCGGUAGUGUAUGCAGCCUGUUGCCUGUAUGGGUUGCCCUAAGGGACCUUGGAGACAGCC
Molecule: small nucleolar RNA, 131 nt
Organism: Mesoplodon densirostris (Blainville's beaked whale)
Lineage: Eukaryota; Metazoa; Chordata; Mammalia; Artiodactyla; Ziphiidae
Product: small nucleolar RNA SNORA70
Exons: 1
Source: RefSeq, a predicted model, not a curated record